CACUCGUAUUUGUAUUCAACAAUGAGGAAGUGUAGUAGUAUUAUACGUUCAUCUGCUGGCUGUGGAGCAGUUAGAAGGGUCAACAUGUCAAAUCCAGAUAAAGAAAUCUCCUACAGUGAUCUCAAAGCCCUCAAAGCAGGCAGUAAAGACCUUGUGCUUGUGGAUGUGCGCUCCAAAGAUGAAGUAGACAGAGGAUGUAUCCCAGGCUCCAUCCAUAUCCCAGUACAAGAUGUGGAAAGGGAAUUCUCUCUUGAUGAACAUACUUUUCAAUGCAAAUUUGGUAUCCCGAAGCCCCAGCUGGAUAGCUGUGAUCUGGUGUUUCACUGCCAAUUGGGACGACGUGGAGAAGUUGCGACAGAGAAGGCCAGAAGCCUUGGGUUCAUCAAUGCAAAGAAUUAUGCUGGAGGUUACAAGGAAUGGUCAGAGAAGGAAGGGAAAUGAUGCUGCUCCAACACAGCACAGCUGUCCAGGACAUCUAUUAGGACAUCUAAGUAGUUUUAGUGACAGCUGGAAAAUGUGUCUCUUACAAGAUAGGAAUCCAUUUUAGCUUAGACAAACUGUAUAAUGUAGCUAUUUAUCUAUAAAAGUAUACAUAAACAUAUAUAAAUAAAAUAAUAAAUAAUUAGAACAUCUCAGGAACUGUAUGAAUGAAUGUGAAUAAAUAUUAACGUUUUUCAGGCUGUAAAAAUUAUUUAAAUUCUGAUGUUUAAGAUCAUCAGAGAUUUUUUAUUCGGAAAAAAACACCUUGAGGUUAUUGAUGGUCUGCGCAUGCGCACUACUCUGCUGUAUGGUGCUUUGUGAAAAACAGACUGUUCAUUUAUACUGUCACGAUGGCCGACAACAAAAAGAUGGACUUUUACUUUGCUCUGUGUUCUUCUUACAGUGUUCCCCUCUGGGUGGCGCCGUUACUGCACACCGCGUCCAGACUGCAGAGUGACGCAGCCAGGCGGAGGAAAGUUUACCGCCUCAUCCAGAGGAGAUUACUGCACCACGGUGUUGGAUGCGGGAAGCUGAACAAACCCACAUAUGUUUAUCCUGGAGAAGUGAAGCAGCUGAUCCGCGCCGUCUUCCCGGAGGAAAUCUGCGACUAUCACGACCCUCAACAUCAAAAUGUGGUCACUGUCACCAUGGAGGAUAUGAACAGCGUUAGUGCGCUUGAUCAGAGCAGGUGGACAGACCAAGAGCAAAUCUAAACACUUCUGUGUUUACAUUAAGAUUGCAUGUGUUUUUGGUUAGUGCAGUCGUGUUCUCCCGGUGCAUGUUUACUGGUUUUCAAUAAAGUUUGAGUAUAUAUCCAGA
Tachysurus fulvidraco (yellow catfish) is the source of this 1299-nucleotide RNA transcript. It is a transcript of the gene named thiosulfate sulfurtransferase like domain containing 1, with no coding region annotated. The transcript is spliced from 7 exons. Lineage: Eukaryota; Metazoa; Chordata; Actinopteri; Siluriformes; Bagridae. The record is from RefSeq and is a predicted model, not a curated record.